Long non-coding RNA from Oncorhynchus tshawytscha (Chinook salmon), 459 nucleotides. The record is from Ensembl. NCBI's taxonomy places the organism in Eukaryota, Metazoa, Chordata, Actinopteri, Salmoniformes, Salmonidae.
CUUGCCGGUUCCCCUCUUUCCACUGGGAUUUUCUGCCUCUAACCCUAUUACAGGGGCUGAGUCCCUGGCUUACUGGUGCUCUUCCAUGCUGUCCCUAGGAGGGGUGCGUCACUUGAGUGGGUUGAGUCACUGACGUGGUCUUCCUGUCUGGGUUGGCGUCCCCCCUUGGGUUGUGCCGUGGUGGAGAUCUUUGUGGGCUAUACUCAGCCUUGUCUCAGGAUGGACCUGAGCCCUAGGACCAUGCCUCAGGACUACCUGGCAUGAUGGCUCCUUGUUGUCCCCAGUCCACCUGGUUGUGCUGCUGCUCCAGUUUCAACUGUUCUGCCUGUGGCUUACGAACCCUGACCUGUUCACUGUGAUUACUAUUAUUUGACCAUGCUGGUCAUUUAUGAACAUCUUGGCCAUGUUCUGUUAUAAUCUCCACCCGGCACAGCCAGAAGAGGACUGGCCACCCCUCAU